UCCUGACCGUGCAAAGGUAGCAUAAUCAUUUGCCUAUUAAUUGUAGGCUAGAAUGAAGGGACAAACGAGAAUACACCUGUCUCCUUUAAGCCCUAAAAAUUUAUCUUUAAGUGAAGAAGCUUAAAUUCAUAUGCAGGACAAGAAGACCCUAUAGAGCUUUACCUAAAAUCUACAUAAAUAGUAGCUAGCGGUUCGGUUGGGGCGACCGGGGGACAUUCAUCACCCCCAAACUAAAAGAUAUACCUAUCCCACCAAAGAUCCUUACUCAAGAUCAAAGAAUCAAGCUACCUUAGGGAUAACAGGCUAAUCCUCUUAGAGAGCCCUUAUCGCAAGAGGGGUUGGCACCUCGAUGUUGGCUU
Molecule: ribosomal RNA, 359 nt
Filed under: Tubifex tubifex (sludge worm)
Lineage: Eukaryota; Metazoa; Annelida; Clitellata; Tubificida; Naididae
Description: partial 16S ribosomal RNA
Rfam family: Bacterial large subunit ribosomal RNA
Source: RNAcentral